CAUGCAAGUCGAGGGGCAGCAUCAUCAAAGCUUGCUUUGAUGGAUGGCGACCGGCGCACGGGUGAGUAACACGUAUCCAACCUGCCGACAACACUGGGAUAGCCUUUCGAAAGAAAGAUUAAUACCGGAUGGCAUAGUUUUCCCGCAUGGGAUGAUUAUUAAAGAAUUUCGGUUGUCGAUGGGGAUGCGUUCCAUUAGGCAGUUGGCGGGGUAACGGCCCACCAAACCAACGAUGGAUAGGGGUUCUGAGAGGAAGGUCCCCCACAUUGGAACUGAGACACGGUCCAAACUCCUACGGGAGGCAGCAGUGAGGAAUAUUGGUCAAUGGACGAGAGUCUGAACCAGCCAAGUAGCGUGAAGGAUGACUGCCCUAUGGGUUGUAAACUUCUUUUAUACGGGAAUAAAGUUAGCCACGUGUGGCUUUUUGUAUGUACCAUAUGAAUAAGGAUCGGCUAACUCCGUGCCAGCAGCCGCGGUAAUACGGAGGAUCCGAGCGUUAUCCGGAUUUAUUGGGUUUAAAGGGAGCGUAGGUGGAUUGUUAAGUCAGUUGUGAAAGUUUGCGGCUCAACCGUAAAAUUGCAGUUGAAACUGGCAGUCUUGAGUACAGUAGAGGUGGGCGGAAUUCGUGGUGUAGCGGUGAAAUGCUUAGAUAUCACGAAGAACUCCGAUUGCGAAGGCAGCUCACUAGACUGCAACUGACACUGAUGCUCGAAAGUGUGG
RNAcentral lists this ribosomal RNA (720 nucleotides) under uncultured bacterium. Its description in RNAcentral is "bacterial SSU rRNA". It matches the Rfam family "Bacterial small subunit ribosomal RNA", at positions 54 to 764 of the family's 1533-position model. The record is from RNAcentral.